AUGGCUGUGCCACGAUGUGCAGAUCAACUCAUUUACCUACAAAUGCUGUUCUGUUUUAAUUUACCUUUUUCUCCCCUUUGCCUGCUUGCCUUAUCGUUACUGCAGACAUCGUUAAGAAUAAAAUUCAACCGCACGCUGUACUGCCUUCACCACUGCAGGAUUUAUGGAGAAGCUUUUCAGUGUACCUAUGCUUAUUUCCAUCCCUGGGCACUGUUCUUAAGGAAUUGUAAGCAAUCCUUGUGGAUAAAAAGAGGCACAGGAAAACAUUCCUGUCUGAUUUUUUUCCUGCUGCUCUAAAGGACACGUAAUGGAUGCAGGCAUACCAGCACAUUAAAGACAGAUGAGGAAGUAAAUCCUUUAGUUGUUUGGAAUUAAAAAGAAUCUGAAAGGAAUAUAUAUAUGCAAAUUGCUUUCAUUGAGGUCUGUCAAGAUCCUGGUAAUUUGGUAGUUUUGCACUGUCAAAGAACUGAUAACCUACUGAAGAUCAAGAGAAGAGUAUCUACACACACACAGCAAGAACACCACUGAAAUAUGUCAAUAGGAACAGGAAAGAUCUUAUGGAAAACCAUAAUAGAAAUCUUCAGGUCACUGAAAUGAACUAGUUUCUGAAUCAAAUAUAUUAGUAGCGUAAAGCUUGGUUCUUUAAGUAUUAAAUGACUAUUUGAUACAUAAGUAAUUGGAUACAAACCUAAGUAGAACAAGGAUGAACUACUGGCAAAGUCGCUUGAUCACUUUUUUUUUGAUAUUCUUAUGUUUUUAUUUUCAGAAGACAUAGUGCUAGAUUUGCAAACAGGCUGGAAAAAAACUAAUUAGAGCUAACUAUUGUUGAGAAAUGUUAAUGUGGAAUGGGAGGCAUUUAAAGAACAGUAGCAGAGUUUAAAAUAUAAGUUCAUUCCAGUAAAUCAGUGUCAAAAUGACAAGAGAAGCCAACAUGGCUCAAGACAGAUAUAUGGAAACAAUACAUAAGAUAAACAAAAAAGCUUUUGAACCCAUCCACAGAAUAUGAGAAGUGAAAGAUUUGAUUAAAUAUUAAAAGAAAAAGGCUAAGCCCAAUGAAACAAAAAACAAGAGUGAAUCAUACAGCUAAAAAUCUCUCAACACAAGGGGGGGUUUGUUUUGGUUUUGUUUUGUAUCAUACCAGGAUAAAAAGCAAGAAUUAAGAAGUUGUUUUCCAGAAUGAUAUUGUUCACAAAC
Molecule: long non-coding RNA, 1194 nt
Organism: Phasianus colchicus (ring-necked pheasant)
Lineage: Eukaryota; Metazoa; Chordata; Aves; Galliformes; Phasianidae
Source: Ensembl